UUACCUGGCCUUGACAUACUAAGAACUUUCCAGAGAUGGAUUGGUGCCUUCGGGAACUUAGAUACAGGUGCUGCAUGGCUGUCGUCAGCUCGUGUCGUGAGAUGUUGGGUUAAGUCCCGCAACGAGCGCAACCCUUUUCCUUAUUUGCCAGCGGGUUAAGCCGGGAACUUUAAGGAUACUGCCAGUGACAAACUGGAGGAAGGCGGGGACGACGUCAAGUCAUCAUGGCCCUUACGGCCAGGGCUACACACGUGCUACAAUGGUCGGUACAAAGGGUUGCUACCUCGCGAGAGGAUGCUAAUCUCAAAAAGCCGAUCGUAGUCCGGAUCGCAGUCUACAACUCGACUGCGUGAAGUCGGAAUCGCUAGUAAUCGCGGAUCAGAAUCGCCGCGGUGAAUACAUUCCCGGGCCUUGUACACACCGCCCGUCACACCAUGGGAGUUUGUUGCACCAGAAGUAGGUAGUCUAACCGCAAGGAGGACGCUUACCACGGUGUGGCCGAUGACUGGGGUGAAGUCGUAACAAGGUAAGCGUAGAUGA
RNAcentral lists this ribosomal RNA (540 nucleotides) under uncultured bacterium. RNAcentral's name for it is "bacterial SSU rRNA". It matches the Rfam family "Bacterial small subunit ribosomal RNA", at positions 971 to 1509 of the family's 1533-position model. The record is from RNAcentral.